AGAAAUAUAUAAAUUAAAAUAAAGCUGCUAACUUUACUUUUAGUGGUGAAAUUCCAUUAAUAUUUCUA
This 68-nucleotide transfer RNA is filed under the name Nallachius americanus. Its description in RNAcentral is "tRNA-Ser". Lineage: Eukaryota; Metazoa; Arthropoda; Insecta; Neuroptera; Dilaridae. The record is from RNAcentral.